AUCCAGCUGACGAGCCCCAAAUAGGACGGAAACUCGUGUCCUGGAU
RNAcentral lists this non-coding RNA (46 nucleotides) under Schistosoma curassoni. Lineage: Eukaryota; Metazoa; Platyhelminthes; Trematoda; Strigeidida; Schistosomatidae. The record is from RNAcentral.